Molecule: ribosomal RNA, 497 nt
Filed under: uncultured bacterium
Lineage: Bacteria
Description: partial 16S ribosomal RNA
Rfam family: Bacterial small subunit ribosomal RNA
Source: RNAcentral
GAUGAACGCUGGCGGCGUGCCUAAUACAUGCAAGUCGAGCGAACAGAUAAGGAGCUUGCUCCUUUGACGUUAGCGGCGGACGGGUGAGUAACACGUGGGUAACCUACCUAUAAGACUGGAAUAACUCCGGGAAACCGGGGCUAAUGCCGGAUAACAUUUAGAACCGCAUGGUUCUAAAGUGAAAGAUGGUUUUGCUAUCACUUAUAGAUGGACCCCCGCCGUAUUAGCUAGUUGGUAAGGUAACGGCUUACCAAGGCAACGAUACGUAGCCGACCUGAGAGGGUGAUCGGCCACACUGGAACUGAGACACGGUCCAGACUCCUACGGGAGGCAGCAGUAGGGAAUCUUCCGCAAUGGGCGAAAGCCUGACGGAGCAACGCCGCGUGAGUGAUGAAGGUCUUCGGAUCGUAAAACUCUGUUAUUAGGGAAGAACAAAUGUGUAAGUAACUGUGCACGUCUUGACGGUACCUAAUCAGAAAGCCACGGCUAACUACGUG